This 253-nucleotide ribosomal RNA is filed under the name uncultured bacterium. RNAcentral describes it as "partial 16S ribosomal RNA". It matches the Rfam family "Bacterial small subunit ribosomal RNA", at positions 524 to 776 of the family's 1533-position model. The record is from RNAcentral.
UACGGGGGGGGCAAGCGUUGUUCGGAAUUACUGGGCGUAAAGGGCUCGUAGGUGGCCAACUAAGUCACACGUGAAAUCCCUCGGCUUAACCGGGGAACUGCGUGUGAUACUGGAUGGCUUGAGUUUGGGAGAGGGAUGCGGAAUUCCAGGUGUAGCGGUGAAAUGCGUAGAUAUCAGGAGGAACACCUGCGGUGUAGACGGCUUACUGGACCAUAACUGACGCUGAGGCACGAAAGCGUGGGUAGCAAACAGG